Molecule: ribosomal RNA, 497 nt
Filed under: uncultured bacterium
Lineage: Bacteria
Description: partial 16S ribosomal RNA
Rfam family: Bacterial small subunit ribosomal RNA
Source: RNAcentral
GAUGAACGCUGGCGGCGUGCCUAAUACAUGCAAGUCGAGCGAACGGACGAGAAGCUUGCUUCUCUGAUGUUAGCGGCGGACGGGUGAGUAACACGUGGAUAACCUACCUAUAAGACUGGGAUAACUUCGGGAAACCGGAGCUAAUACCGGAUAAUAUUUUGAACCGCAUGGUUCAAAAGUGAAAGACGGUCUUGCUGUCACUUAUAGAUGGAUCCGCGCUGCAUUAGCUAGUUGGUAAGGUAACGGCUUACCAAGGCAACGAUGCAUAGCCGACCUGAGAGGGUGAUCGGCCACACUGGAACUGAGACACGGUACCGACUCCUACGGGAGGCAGCAGUAGGGAAUCUUACGCAAUGGGCGAAAGCCUGACGGAGCAACGCCGCGUGAGUGAUGAAGGUCUUAGGAUCGUAAAACUCUGUUAUUAGGGAAGAACAUAUGUGUAAGUAACUGUGCACAUCUUGACGGUACCUAAUCAGAAAGCCACGGCUAACUACGUG